RNAcentral lists this long non-coding RNA (466 nucleotides) under Helianthus annuus (common sunflower). Lineage: Eukaryota; Viridiplantae; Streptophyta; Magnoliopsida; Asterales; Asteraceae. The record is from RNAcentral.
CUAUUUACUGUCCUUCGUCAAUAAUAUUUAUAUAAUAUUUAUAUAAUUGAGUGUGGUAUUAUUUGCUGGUUAUGUUUGUUGAAGUGGGUGAGAGAGUGAGGAACGUGAGUACGAACGAUUGGUUUGGUUUUUCGGUUAAUUGGGUUGGUUUUUUAGUUUUUUAUUUGAUUUAGUUAAUAUAUUGGUUAAUUACCAAAUUUGGCUAAACUUUUUGCUUAUAAUACGUGAAAUGUAGGUAUAAAUACAUGAAAUGAAUGUCUAGAAGCUAUAAAUAUUUUAAAAUAUGAACGGUUCGGUUUGGUUCGGUUGAUUUCAGUUAGGUUUUCAAUUCGGUAUCGGUUAGCCCUUUGGUUAUUGCUCACCCUUAUAUUUUAGUAUAUUGAGCUUUUAUUUUUCAUAACCAUUGUUUUUUUAAUUGUUCAAACAACUAGUGGGUUUCUCUUCUCUUAGGGUGUAAGGGGUGCUC